UUAAAGAUAAGCUAAUUCAGUAAGCUUUUUGGUUCAUACCCAAAAUAUAGAUUAUUUUCUUCUUUAAA
This 68-nucleotide transfer RNA is filed under the name Meteorus sp. 1 XHS-2023a. RNAcentral describes it as "tRNA-Met". Lineage: Eukaryota; Metazoa; Arthropoda; Insecta; Hymenoptera; Braconidae. The record is from RNAcentral.